ACGUAGGGUGCGAGCGUUAAUCGGAAUUACUGGGCGUAAAGCGUGCGCAGGCGGUGAUGUAAGACAGAUGUGAAAUCCCCGGGCUCAACCUGGGAACUGCAUUUGUGACUGCAUCGCUGGAGUACGGCAGAGGGGGAUGGAAUUCCGCGUGUAGCAGUGAAAUGCGUAGAUAUGCGGAGGAACACCGAUGGCGAAGGCAAUCCCCUGGGCCUGUACUGACGCUGAGGAGCGAAAGUGUGGGGAGCGAACAGGA
RNAcentral lists this ribosomal RNA (253 nucleotides) under uncultured prokaryote. Its description in RNAcentral is "partial 16S ribosomal RNA". It matches the Rfam family "Bacterial small subunit ribosomal RNA", at positions 525 to 777 of the family's 1533-position model. The record is from RNAcentral.